CAAAUGCUGAAGGGCGGGAAAGUCCGUUGGUGACGGCGGGCCAGGUGCAGAAAACAGGAAAGUUCCUGCCGGUGGGAAUGUUUCCGCCAUGUUUCUUUUCCCUUCCCCCAGACCUUACAGAUGGAUAUGACCACCUUUUAAGAUCUUCAGAUUUACAAUCCUGAGAUCUCCCAUUGAGCUCUUCAGAACUAUAAGUCUGACCUGAACUGGCGUGAGACAAUGUAGAGAAGUUUUGGAUUUUUGCUCCAAAAAUACACAUGACAAAGCUGCCCAUCUUCCCAACCACAUGCACCUGAAAGGGUGUCCCUGCAUCGAAUCCAUUUCUCGAUGUAACACGCAUCAGACCAACAGCACGUCUGGAGCAGUAUCUUACUAUUUCAACAGCUUCACAGACGGAAUCACAGACUGUGAUUGGUCACAUCCGUUAUAAGCUACUGGAUAUUCCCGACCUCAGCAGUCUGGGAGGUCUGAGGGCCGAACCUCCUCCCUCGCCCACUUUGAGAAAGUGAGCUGGCUGUCCUUGUAAAUGCCCUUGGUGCAAACUGGCAAGACACAUGAGAAGGAGCCUCUCGAAAUCCACGCAGGUGUCUCCCCGCCUCGGGUAACGAGUCUCAUUGUGCCUUUGUGUCCUUACGUCCAGUCUGUCUCUGGCAAAGCAGUAAGUGACACUGUGGAAAAGGCAGAAGGGCAUAUCGUGGUUUCUGCACAAAGAGAGUCAUUUGGGAGGAGAAAAAAAGAAGGAAAGAAAAUCUCUGGAAACAUCUUAAAGGCAGCCAAGCCUAAGCAUGGCUGUGUGAGGAGACGUUCUCUUCUAUUUCACCAUGUGGAGCUGAUUUUACUCUCUGGCGUGCGUGUGUGUGUGUGUGUGUGUGUGUUUGCAUGUGUGUAUGUGUGUGUAAGAGAUUUUGUGACACAAAUGAAGCUCUUCUGGACAUCUAGGCAAUGGUAUUUUAAAUGAUCCAUUGAAAAGGACCUUUCAAUUCAAGCUGGCAUUUCAAAUUCUAUUUUAAUAACA
Molecule: long non-coding RNA, 1015 nt
Organism: Tupaia belangeri chinensis (Chinese tree shrew)
Lineage: Eukaryota; Metazoa; Chordata; Mammalia; Scandentia; Tupaiidae
Exons: 3
Source: RefSeq, a predicted model, not a curated record